GUGGGUAUAGCUCAGUUGGUUAGAGCGCCAGGUUGUGGCCCUGGAGGUCAUGGGUUCGAUUCCCAUUAUUCACCCCA
This 77-nucleotide transfer RNA is filed under the name Clostridiaceae bacterium. RNAcentral's name for it is "tRNA-His". It matches the Rfam family "tRNA". From Rfam's summary of the family: Transfer RNA (tRNA) molecules are approximately 80 nucleotides in length. Their secondary structure includes four short double-helical elements and three loops (D, anti-codon, and T loops). The record is from RNAcentral. Lineage: Bacteria; Bacillati; Bacillota; Clostridia; Eubacteriales; Clostridiaceae. RNAcentral also lists the same sequence under 1 other name.